CCGUUGAGAAAGGUAGGGGUGUACACAAACUUCGGCGGAGCAAGUGAGGGCAAGGUCUUUGGGACCACCCGCACACAAUCACUACUCACAAUUCCAAAAAUACACCUUCACCCGUGAUUCUAAUAUAGAAGCACAAUUCGUUUUCCGAGCACCAGUUGCAAGGUAAGUGCUUUAAAUUGAUGAUCUAUACCGCCUGGGAAGAUGUGAAGUCACCUGAAGUAUACAACAAAAUAGAUGUCAAAAUGAAGUUAUGAAAGGACUCCCUCCAUUUCAUUAUAACUGUCCACUUGUAGAAGUUUUCCAUGUCUCAAAUUGUACGGCCACAUAUCUAAUUUAAAUAUUAAUUUUUUAUUAUUUUAAUCUUGCUGACACAAUGACAUAAUGCAAUUGUUUAUGUCUUGCAUUCUUGAAUUGUUAGUAGCUUGUCUAAGGGUUAUCGACGGAAGGGAAGUUGGCAGGAGCUCUGGUCAUGACUGCCCUGCUAUGUUUUUUAUGGUCAUUCUUUUCAUUUGUAAUGAAAUUUGUGGAAUUCUAUCAUGUCAUUGAAUUUGGUAUUUAGGAUUGUAGCAGAAUUGCAAUUGAUUAGCUGAUUGACAUAUUUUGUAUGAUGAAACAAGGUAAGUAAAAAAAAAUCUCAUUUUUGUGAUUUUACUAUGCUGAAAUGAGCAGCUCCAAUUCUGAUUUCUCACCAUGAUUUUAAAGUGAGGUUGAGUGCAAGAAGAGAAAUGGAAUGAAAUGGAAACCAAUACACACAAUCAGGUUACUUCUUUAACUUUAAAUUGAAUCGUAUGAACUGUUGAAUGAGUCCAUCCAAAUUUCUCCUUCUUGCAGAGAAAACGAGUAUGGAUUGUUUCACUGAUCUCACCAUGACUUCCAAAUCAGGUUGACUGCAGGAAAGAAAAAUGGAAUGUAUCAGAAACCAAUGCAUACAAUCAGAGAGAACAAGUAUGAAACAUGAAAAAGUGUGUGGAUUGUUUCAUAGAUGCUUUUUCUCACCAUGAUUUUCAAAUAAGGUUGACUGCAAGAAGAGAAAUGGAAUGAAUCAGAAACCAAUACACACAAUUGGGUAACUCUUGUUUACUUUAAAUCAUGUAAUAUGACUUAUGGAAGAAAUCAAUCCAAAAUUCUUCUUCCUCUUUUUCUUGCAGAGAGAACGAGUAUGAAACAUUAAAGCAUACGGACUUGUUCUCACCAUGAUUUUCAAAUCAGGUUGAGCACAAGAAGGGCAAUGAAAUGAUGGAAUGAAUCAGAAAACAAUACACACAAUCAGAGAGAGACAGACAGACGGACAGAACAAGCAUGAAACAUGAAAACCUACGAAUUGUUUUCGACUUUGAAUGAAA
Long non-coding RNA from Dioscorea cayenensis subsp. rotundata (Guinea yam), 1343 nucleotides. RefSeq lists it as uncharacterized. Lineage: Eukaryota; Viridiplantae; Streptophyta; Magnoliopsida; Dioscoreales; Dioscoreaceae. The record is from RefSeq and is a predicted model, not a curated record. The transcript has 3 exons.